Molecule: ribosomal RNA, 446 nt
Filed under: uncultured bacterium
Lineage: Bacteria
Description: bacterial SSU rRNA
Rfam family: Bacterial small subunit ribosomal RNA
Source: RNAcentral
GUGGGGAAUAUUGCACAAUGGGCGCAAGCCUGAUGCAGCGACGCCGCGUGGGGGAUGACGGCCUUCGGGUUGUAAACCUCUUUCGGUGGGGAGGAAGCCGGCCCUGUUGUAGGGGUGGGUGACGGUACCUGCUAAAGAAGCACCGGCUAACUACGUGCCAGCAGCCGCGGUAAUACGUAGGGUGCAAGCGUUGUCCGGAAUUAUUGGGCGUAAAGAGCUCGUAGGCGGCGUGUCGCGUCGGAUGUGAAAGCCCGGGGCUUAACCCCGGGUUGGCAUUCGAUACGGGCAGGCUAGAGUUCGGUAGGGGAGACUGGAAUUCCUGGUGUAGCGGUGAAAUGCGCAGAUAUCAGGAGGAACACCGGUGGCGAAGGCGGGUCUCUGGGCCGAUACUGACGCUGAGGAGCGAAAGCGUGGGGAGCGAACAGGAUUAGAAACCCCGGUAGUCC